UCCGUUGGUGAACCAGCGGAGGGAUCAUUAGAGAGUGUAAAAGACUCCGUACCCCGUGGACGUGAAAGCACGUUUCAUCCGGGCGGGAGGCUUCCGGCCCCACCGUCACGGUGCAGGACGGUCGCCGACCCCCGGGAAGGCCCCAAACCCGUCUUGAACCAUGCAUCUGAAGUGGCAUACUUGAAUCAGUAAAAACUUUCAACAACGGAUCUCUUGGUUCUGGCAUCGAUGAAGAACGCAGCGAAAUGCGAUAAGUAAUGUGAAUUGCAGAAUUCAGUGAAUCAUCGAAUCUUUGAACGCACAUUGCGCCCGCCAGCAUCCUGGCGGGCAUGCCUGUCCGAGCGUCGGAAGUCCAAUCAAGCCGUAGGCUUGCCGUUGGGAGCCCACCUGGUGGUGGCUCCCCAAAUGCACCGGCGGUGUCGUGGCGACUCUGAGCGUAGUGAAACCCCUCGCUCCUGGGGGACCUGCGGCCCCGGCCGUAAAACGCCCCACCCGAAUCGGUUCGACCUCGGAUCAGGUAGGAAUACCCGCUGAACUUAAGCAUAUCAAUAAGCGGAGGA
RNAcentral lists this ribosomal RNA (560 nucleotides) under Polystigma amygdalinum. Its description in RNAcentral is "eukaryotic LSU rRNA". The stretch from base 194 to 347 matches the Rfam family "5.8S ribosomal RNA". Lineage: Eukaryota; Fungi; Ascomycota; Sordariomycetes; Phyllachorales; Phyllachoraceae. The record is from RNAcentral.